GGCCAGAUAGCUCAGUUGGUAGAGCAACGGACUGAAAAUCCGUGUGUCGUUGGUUCGAUUCCGACUCUGGCCA
This 73-nucleotide transfer RNA is filed under the name Pseudomonadota bacterium. RNAcentral's name for it is "tRNA-Phe". It matches the Rfam family "tRNA". Rfam says of the family: Transfer RNA (tRNA) molecules are approximately 80 nucleotides in length. Their secondary structure includes four short double-helical elements and three loops (D, anti-codon, and T loops). RNAcentral also lists the same sequence under 4 other names. The record is from RNAcentral. Lineage: Bacteria; Pseudomonadati; Pseudomonadota.